CUUCCAUUUUCUAUAAAUUUUUCUCCUUUUUUUUUUCUUUUUUUUCAGAAUUUUCUUCCAUAUAUACAAAAUUCUUAUUUACACAGAAUUUAAAACUUCAACGUCUAUGUGACGUAAAUAAAAACGAGUAAAGGUUGAUUCCUUUGUCCAGUCUGCUGUGUCCAUAAUAGACUUCACAGAUGCGCCGUUAAAAAGUGCCCAAGAUGGGCCCAAGGCUCUUGUAGAAUGAGCACGAAAUUUUUUGUCUUUUUCAUUGUAAGCACAUUUAAUUGCAUUAACAAUCCAAGACGAAAUAGUCUGUGAUGUAACCGGUUUAUGCGGUUCAAUAAAAGAUAAAAACAACUUGUUCUCAAACUCACUGUCAGAGUUUCUAAAAGGUGCAGUUUUCUUCAAAUAAUAAUAAAUAGACCGCUUCGGAUCUAAUAAUUUAUCUGAUUGAUAAGACGGAAUAAAAAUCUUGCUGCCAAAAUGUUUUG
This 476-nucleotide long non-coding RNA is filed under the name Mytilus galloprovincialis (Mediterranean mussel). Lineage: Eukaryota; Metazoa; Mollusca; Bivalvia; Mytilida; Mytilidae. The record is from RNAcentral.